This 465-nucleotide ribosomal RNA is filed under the name uncultured bacterium. Its description in RNAcentral is "partial 16S ribosomal RNA". It matches the Rfam family "Bacterial small subunit ribosomal RNA", at positions 338 to 795 of the family's 1533-position model. The record is from RNAcentral.
CCUACGGGAGGCUGCAGUGGGGAAUAUUGCGCAAUGGGCGAAAGCCUGACGCAGCGACGCCGCGUGAGGGAUGAAGGUCUUCGGAUCGUAAACCUCUGUCAGCAGGGAAGAACGGUCACUGUGCUAAUCAGCAGUGAAUUGACGGUACCUGCAAAGGAAGCACCGGCUAACUCCGUGCCAGCAGCCGCGGUAAUACGGAGGGUGCGAGCGUUAAGCGGAAUUACUGGGCGUAAAGCGCUCGUAGGCGGUAUGGCAAGUCAAGGGUGAAAUCCCCGCGCUCAACGUGGGAACUGCCUUUGAAACUGGCAAACUGGAGUGUGUGAGAGGAUAGUGGAAUUCCAGGUGUAGGAGUGAAAUGCGUAGAUAUCUGGAGGAACAUCAGUGGCGAAGGCGACUAUCUGGCACAUAACUGACGCUGAGGAGCGAAAGCGUGGGUAGCAAACAGGAUUAGAUACCCCGGUAGUC